Long non-coding RNA from Hibiscus syriacus, 221 nucleotides. RefSeq lists it as uncharacterized. The transcript has 3 exons. NCBI's taxonomy places the organism in Eukaryota, Viridiplantae, Streptophyta, Magnoliopsida, Malvales, Malvaceae. The record is from RefSeq and is a predicted model, not a curated record.
AAUUAAACCCUUGAGAAAACCCAAAUCUUCACCCAGGUUAAAAUCACAGCUAUCUGAUGCCGGUAGAGUGUUGCAGCACGACGGAUCAUCACCUUCCGGGAGAGUACAUGUAAAGAAAGUUCCAUUAAAUGCUAAUGAGAAAAGCUUUUCUAAACGGCCUGUUACUUCGAAUACGAAAUCUCGGGUCGAAAAGCUUCUUCCUGCUGCCCUGUCUGAACGUC